This 650-nucleotide long non-coding RNA is filed under the name Fukomys damarensis (Damara mole-rat). RNAcentral's name for it is "lncRNA (ENSFDAG00000025560.1)". The record is from RNAcentral. Lineage: Eukaryota; Metazoa; Chordata; Mammalia; Rodentia; Bathyergidae.
CCAGGCGUGGCCCUCAGCAAAGAGGCUGCACUUGGUCAUUCCAACAAGGCCCUAAAUUCCUCCUCUGCCUUUCACUGAAAAUAUCUUUUCUCCUCUGACAGUGGAGGGGUUGGAUGUCAUCUGGAAUGAGCCCCUUCCCAGGCUGCUUCUGAUUUCCCUCCUCCCUUCUCCAUCUUCAGGAGGCCUCCCCAUCUCCUGGGAAGAAUGCACAUCUGUCCCGUACUGACUUUAAGGAAAAGGCCUUCCCUGAAGUCUCAUCUCCCUUUGCACCUUGACCAACAUUGGGAAAUGCAGAGGUCCAGAGCAUGGGAAGAGGAUGGCAAGGUCCCCAAGCAGCCACAGCAGAAUGUUCUAUCUGGGAGCUGGAGUGUUCUGAGGCUCAAGGAAAGAAAGGGAGACGUGAGGGUGGCUAUGUCUGGGCUGCUCCUCAUCUCCCUUGCUUGACUCUGCGGCCCACCACCAGCCUGACACGUAGGAGACAGUAUGUGUUUGCUGAGUGAAUGGAUAAAUGAAUGAAUGCUCCUCGCCUGAGUCAGGUGGAAGAAUUUCUAGGACUCCGCUGAGCCAUCAGGGACCCCUGUGUCAUCCACUGCAGCUCAUCCUGCAGGAAAUGCAGCUAUGGAGUCUCUUCUAGUAGGUAUGUGAGAAGG